Molecule: small nuclear RNA, 123 nt
Filed under: Fukomys damarensis (Damara mole-rat)
Lineage: Eukaryota; Metazoa; Chordata; Mammalia; Rodentia; Bathyergidae
Description: U4 spliceosomal RNA
Rfam family: U4 spliceosomal RNA
About the family: U4 small nuclear RNA (U4 snRNA) is a component of the major U2-dependent spliceosome.
Source: Rfam by way of RNAcentral
AGCUUUGCGCAGUGGCAGUAUCGUAGCAAAUGAGGUUUAUCCGAGGAGCGAUUAUUGCUAAUUGAAACAGAGCUAACCUCAGCAAUGUUUUUUGUGCUUUGCUUUUGGCUUUGGUUUUUGCUU